GUGAGUCAUCGAAUCUUUGAACGCACAUUGCGCCCGCCAGUAUUCUGGCGGGCAUGCCUGUCUGAGCGUCAUUUCAACCCUCAUGCCCCAGCGGUGUGGUGUUGGGGAUCGGCCCGCCCGGGCCGUCCCCUAAAUCUAUUGGCGGACUCGCUGUAGCCUCACUCUGCGUAGUAGUGAUAUUUCGCAUUGGAGAGCGGCGAGCCCCUGCCGUAAAACCCCAACUUCUCAGGUUGACCUCAGAUCAGGUAGGAAUACCCGCUGAACUUAAGCAUAUCAAUAAGCGGAGGA
This 288-nucleotide unclassified non-coding RNA is filed under the name Clonostachys sp. RNAcentral's name for it is "partial contains 5.8S ribosomal RNA, internal transcribed spacer 2, and large subunit ribosomal RNA". The stretch from base 1 to 71 matches the Rfam family "5.8S ribosomal RNA", at positions 84 to 154 of the family's 154-position model. Lineage: Eukaryota; Fungi; Ascomycota; Sordariomycetes; Hypocreales; Bionectriaceae. The record is from RNAcentral.